CUGAAUACUUAUGUAACUAAAGUAUUUCUAUUUUUAUUUUUUAUAAAUGUGCAAUAAUUUCUAAAAACUAAAAACAUAACAAAAUGUGGAAAAAGUCCAGGGUUCUGAAUACUUACUGAAUGCACUGUAUAUCCUCCAAACACUGUGUUUUGAGGGCAUUAUCAUUUUAAUACGUGUUACCAACAUAUUGAAAUAAUGAUUUACAUAAAUGUUAUUUUGAUUCAUUUAUGCUACUUCAUCCUUCCACAAGAUAUACUCCCGCCACAAAUCCAGCUUUUUUCCUCAAGCCGGCUGGUCUUUCAUUCUAUCGGACUUGUGAGGCGUCUGUUUCUCAAACUACACACUCUAAUGUACUUGUCCUCUUGCUCAGUUGUGCACCGGGGCCUCCCUCUCCUCUUUGUAUGCUGGUUAGAGACAGUUUGCGCUGUUCUGUGAAGGGAGUACUACACAGCGCAGUACGAGAUCUUCAGUUUCUUGGCAAUUUCUCGCAUGGGAUAGCCUUCAUUUCUCAGAACAAGAAUAGACUGACUAGUUUCAGAAGAAAGGUCUUUGUUUCUGGCCAUUUUGAGCCUGUUAUCGAACCCACAAAUGCUGAUGCUCCAAAUACCAACUAGUCUAAAGAAGGCCCAUUUGCUGUUUCCAGCUACAAUAGUCAUUUACAACAUUAACAAUGUCUACACUGUAUUUCUUAUCAAUUUAAUGUUAUUUUAAAUGGACAAAAAAAUGUGAUUUUCUUUAAAAAGCAAGGACAUUUCUAAGUGACCCCAAACUUUUGAACGGUAGUGUACAUACGGUGCAUUCAGAAAGUUCAGACCCCUUCCCUUUUCCACAUUUUGUUCUGUUACAACGUUUCUUCAUCAAUCUAUACACAAUACCCCAUGUGAAGAUAAAACGAAAACAGGUUUUUAGAAAUGUUUGCAAAUUCAUAAAAAAGAAACAGAAAUACCUUAUUUACAUAAGUAUUCAGACCCUUUGCUAUGAGACUCAAUUCAGCUUAGGCGCAUCCUGUUUCCAUUGAUCAUCCUUGAGCUGUUUCUGAAACUUGAUUGGAGUUAACCUGUGGUAAAUUCAAUUGAUUGGACAUUAUUUUGAAAGGCACACACCUGUCAAUGUAAGGCCCCACCUUUGACAGUGCAUGUCUGUGCAAAACCCAAGCCACGGGGUUGAAGGAAUUGUCCGUAGAGCUCCAAGACAAGCUUGUGUUGAGGCACAGAUCUGGGAAAGGGUAACAAUAUGUUUUUGCAGCAAUGAAGGUCCCCAAGAACUCAGUGGCCUCAUUCAUUCUUAAAUGGAGGAGGUAUGGAACCACUAUGAUUCUUCCUAGAGCUGGCCAACCGGCCAAACUGAGCAAUCGGGGGAGAAGGGCCUUGGUCAGGGAAGUGAGCAAGAACUCGAUGGUCACUCUGACAGAGCUCCAGAGUCGCUCUGUGGAGAUGGGAGAACGUUCCAGAAGGGCAACCAUCUCUGAAGCACUCCAACAAUCAGGCAUUUAUGGUAGAGUGGCCAGACGGAAGCCACUCCUUAGUAAACAUGACAGCAUGUUUGGAGUUUGCCAAAAGGCACCUAAAGGACUCUGACCAUAAGAAACAAGAUUGUUUCUGAUGAAACCAAGAUUGAACUCUUUGGCCUGAAUGCCAAGAGUCACGUCUGGAGGAAACCUGACACCAUCCCUAUGGUGAAGCAUGGUGGUGGUAGCAUCAUGCUGUAGGGAUGAUUUUCAGUGGCAGGGGCUGGGAGACAAGUCAGGAUCAAAGGAAAAAUGAACAGAGCAAAGUACAGAGAGAACCUUGACAAAAACCUGCUCCAGAGUGCUCAGGAUCUCAGACUGGGGCGAAGGUUCACCUUCCAACAGGACAACGAUCCUCAAGUCUCUAAAUGUUCUUGAGUGGCCCAGCCAGAGCCCCAACAUGAACCCGGUCGAACAUCUCUGGAGAGACCUGAGAAUAGCUGUGCAGCGACGCUCCCCAUCCAACCUGACAGAGCUUGAGAGGAUAUGCACAGGAGAAUCGGAGAAACUCCCCAAAUACAGGUGUACCAAGCUUUAUUAUUAUUAUUAUUAUUAUUAUUAUUUCACCUUUAUUUAACCAGGUAGGCCAGUUGACAACAAGUUCUCAUUUACAACUGCGACCUGGCCAAGAUAGUGUCAUACCCAAGAAGACUCAAUACUGUAAUCGCUGCAAGUAUUGAGGAAAGGGUCAGAAUACUUAUGGACAUGUGAUAUUUCAGUUUUAGUUUUAAUACAUUUACAACAUUUCUAAAAACCUGAUUUUGCUUUGUCACUAUGGGGUAUUGUGUAUAGAUUGAGAGAAAAAAACUUUUUAAUCCAUUUUAGAAUAUGUCUAACGUAACCAAGUGUAGAAAAAGUCUAGUGGUCUGAAUACUUUCAGAAUGCACUGUAUUGCUUAGUAUGUUUAGGUUUACAAGAAACCUCUCUUGCUGAUGUAAGAAGUUGGAGAAAGGAUCUGGCAGAAUCUCUGAAAACAGCAGACAUUGGCCUUACGUGUGAAUAAACCUGCAUAGAAAACUUUAACGAGUUUCAGUUUGGACAGUAGAAACAGUUAUUUUUUGGGGGCCGAGGCUGAAUUUAUUUUGAAAAUGUACCUAGAUAGCCACUACAGGCGCAUAUUUUGGUCCGCUAAUACAGGACUAGUAAAGGCCGAGUGAAUAUUUUGGGGUUAUUCCAAUUUUUUCAAAGGGUGCUUGCAGCACCCUCAGCACCCCUACUUCCCGCGGCUAUGUUUGGGACCUUUAGCUGUUGGGAGGAAAUAUCCAUAAAUGUCGGGAUCCACAGCCACACUGUUUUUUACAUUGCAUGUUUUUAUUUCACAUCAUGCUUUCAAUAAUCUCACCAGAAAAAAACAUAACUAGCCAACAUUAACACUUUGAUGAAAUCAAUUAAUUUUAAGUUAGCACUGUAGGAUCAAUAUAUGUUUGUUCUUUACCUUCUGGAACACAACUUGAAACUUCAGGAGGAGGAACCGAAGUGGUGGACCUGGUUUCAAGGACAGAAAAGUAAUUUCUACAUUUGUGGCUUAAUUCAUAUUAUUUUUUUCCACCUUUGCCAAACCAUUCUCCAAUAACCCUCUAAGGAUCGGAUAUUUUUUAUAACAUUUUCGCAUAAAAUGACAUACCCAAAUCUAAGUGCCUUUAGCUCAGGACCUGAAGCAAGGAUAUGCAUAUUCUUGAUACAAUUUGGAAGGAAAUACUUUGAAGUUUGUGGAAAUGUAAAAUGAAUGUAGGAUAAUAUAACACAUUGUAUUAUCUUUUACCAGAUCUAAAGAAAAAACAGCUCCCAUCUUUGAAAUGCAAGAGAGAGGCCAUGAUGUAUUAUUCCAGCCCAGGCACAAUUUAGAUUUUUGCCACUGGAUGGCAGCAGUGUAUGUGCAAAGUGUUAGACAGAUCCAAUGAACAUCUGUUCAAAUUGUUGUAUCACGACUGCCCGUCGUUCAUAAUUGUGCACACUCCUCAAACAAUAGCAUGGUAUUAUUUCACUGUAAAUUAUACAGUGCAGUUAGAUUAACAAGAACUUAAGCUUUCUGCCCCUAUCAGAUAUGUCUAUGUCGUGGGGCAUUUUUUGUUACAACCUCAUGUUAAUCACACGUUAGCUCAACCAUCCCGGGGUUACAACCUCAUGCUAAUCACAUUAGCCUACGUUAGUUUAACCAUCCCGUGGGGGACCAAUCCCAUAGAAGUUAAGAACAAUUUAUUUUACAAUGACAGCCUACCCCGGACAAACCCUCGUUUAAUCCGGACGAUGCUGGGCCAGAGGGUCAAGCAAUGGCGACAAGGUUGUCAAGGCAUAUUUUGAAACUUAAUAACAAAAUCGGGGCAUCAAUAAAACUGAAUAACCUGAAUAGGCGUGCCAUACCAUUCUCCAAUGUCCCUCAACUGCUGACUUUCAUGGUGACAAUAAAUCUUGAAGGUGAUGUCUGGAGAGUUUCUGUUUAACCUCAAACAAAAACGAGCUUUUCUUGCUAUGAGAAAGCUUGAAUGUAGACCUUACCACAUUGUUCAUUAAUGUUUAUUUAAAUAUUCAGACUGUUCUUGCUUGUCUUUGUCCUGGAAUUUUUGGAUUUCUUUAUACUGUAAUUGUAAAUAACAUUUAUCAAAUGAAUGUUGUUAUCACUCUCUCCUUGGUGAGGAUCACAGGACAACAGAUAGCCCAGACCCCCUCUCUCCCAUACCCCUUCUCUCCCAUAAACGGAUUGAGUUCAACAGAGAGACAAAGACAUCCACACCUAAAUAUAUACAUUGCAAAUAUUUUCCAAUGAGCAGUCGUUCAUGUGCAAAGUAUGCAUAUUCCCAUGAGCAUAGCUUUCCAUGUAUGUACGAUAAGUCCACUUUCUCUCCCGCUCUUUUUCUUUCCCCACCCCCUUUCCAUUGUGCAACAAGCCGUCAUAUCGGGUUAGUCCACUAGGGAAUUUUCAUUGCAUUAUGUUAGUAAUCAAUAUAACCUAUACCACGUGUUUGUAAUUGUGUGAUUUAGUUAGUAAAUAAACAA
This is a long non-coding RNA of Oncorhynchus tshawytscha (Chinook salmon), 4501 nucleotides long. The record is from Ensembl. NCBI's taxonomy places the organism in Eukaryota, Metazoa, Chordata, Actinopteri, Salmoniformes, Salmonidae.